Molecule: long non-coding RNA, 1502 nt
Filed under: Mus spicilegus (steppe mouse)
Lineage: Eukaryota; Metazoa; Chordata; Mammalia; Rodentia; Muridae
Description: lncRNA (ENSMSIG00000023368.1)
Source: RNAcentral
AUGGGAGAGAUUCGGGUCAAGUUUUGGAAGGAAAAAGGUGAGGAAGUAGGAUGCGGACGUUCUAAAGGGAGGGAAAGAGCCACGUGUGUAGCAGCCAGCUGUGGGGCUGAACCAGCGCAGGCAUGCUCAUUAGAAAGCCAUGCAACCCUGUUCCUGCACAACUCACUUCGAGCCCUUCUUCCUGCUCUCUUGGCGCUGCUGCUGAGGGUCACGUGGCAGCUGCUCCACCAGGGCUCUAUGAAUGACCGCUUGCUCCCAGCUCUCAAGAUGCUUCCAGGCUCUUCCUUCCUGGUUGUGGAUGCAGAGCUGGAAACCGGAAACUGCUGCUGGUGUCCUUUGCACCCAACCUCACCAAGGACUGAGUCACUGGAGCAUCUAUCUGCACGCUGCGGUUUCGACUUUCCCCCAAGUGCAUAGCGGUAUGUCAUCUGAGAGGCAGAAGUCAGGCUGCCCCUGGUGCCAAGACAGAGGCUGAGGUGACAUGCAUUGUCCCGGCAGCCUGGCUUCUUACAACCUCCUGAGAGGACAGAAGGACCUGUCAGGCAUCAGCCUGGUGAAGAAAUCCCUUUGAUUUCCACAGCCUGAAUAUUACUCUCCUGUGCGGCCAGGAGCAGAAGAGUUUCGUUUCACUGUUUCUAUGUCUAUUUAUUUUUAAUCCAAAUACACAGAGGUAGCUUUAAAGUCCACAUGUUAAUUUGUUCUAGGAAAAUCACAAAGUUGUAGCCUCCCUGGUCUACUCGUAUUUCCGUCUCUGCGUUUAGUUGUACUGGGGUGUUUGGAGCGCUUAUUCCUAGGCAAUGCAUUUUAAAAGCUGUCUUUGUUAUCUUAAUUUAGAGAGUCCUGACCUUGCUACGGAAGUCAAGGAAAAGUCUUCCGCCUCCUCAGGCCUUCUUGCCCCUCAAAUUUCCUGUAUUUCUUCCCAUCUUACCUGUCCACGAGAUUUAGCUUAAUUAAAAAAUAUAUGUUUACUUCAUGUGUCUGUAUCAUACGCAUGCAUUGCCUGUGGAGGCCAGAAGAGGGCGUCGGAUCCCCGGGAACUAGGAGUUACAGAUGGUUGUGAGCUGCUGCAUGGAUGUUGGGAAUGGAACCUGGGUCCUCUGCAGGAACAGCCAGUCCCCUUUACCCAUGAGUCAUCUCUCCAGUCCUUUAACAACAUUUUAGGAAGCACUACAGAAGAAGAAAAGUGCACCCGUUGAAACUAGGAUAGUAACUAUUGUCAAUUUGAUAGGAUCUAGAAUAACAUGGGACACAGCCUCUAGGCAAGCCUCCGAGGGGUUGUCCACAUUAGGUUACUUGAAGUAGAAGAACACCUUAUGUGUGGGCAGCACUAUGGGCUGGGAUCCUGACUGAGUAAACCGGAGAAGGCAAGCUGAGCCCUCUUCUCUUCAGUUGUUCUUGGUAGAGCAUUUUUGCCACAGGAGUGAGAUAAAUAAUGGAGGCCACAAUGUAUUCUGAUGUCUAAGACACUAAAAUAAAAAAGAAAAGCACAUUUUAGAAUAGCA